GCUUCUGCAAUUCUGAGUGUAAUACUUCUCAUAACCCCGUGAAGAUAAUAGAGUAAACAUAUGGACCAGAUGUAAAAUCCUUUGAUGAUAAUGUGAAACUCUAUGCAACCUCAAUUACUGAUUGAAUAGACUAAGCUGCCCUGCUUGCGCUACCCAACUACACAGAAUGCCGAAUGCACCCUAUGUACUCCCCGAACACAUCUAGCUCCAAGUUCACCGUCCCAAUUCAAGAAUGAUAAUGAUGCAGUCCAUAUGGAGCGCAUUGAGCAGCCAACUCUCACUCUACUUCUUACAGAUCUAAGCUUAUGUGCUAAACCUACUUCUGUUUCUUUCUACUGUUUUUAUGCAAUCUACUAGUAACGGUUUUGAAUCUGUUAUGUCACAAAUA
Molecule: long non-coding RNA, 388 nt
Organism: Cydia splendana
Lineage: Eukaryota; Metazoa; Arthropoda; Insecta; Lepidoptera; Tortricidae
Exons: 3
Source: RefSeq, a predicted model, not a curated record